UACGGAGGGUGCGAGCGUUGUUCGGAAUCACUGGGCGUAAAGCGCGUGUAGGCGGCUCGAUAAGUCUGGUGUGAAAGCCCGGGGCUCACCCCCGGAAGUGCACUGGAUACUGUCGAGCUCGAGUUCCGGAGAGGAAAGUGGAAUUCCUGGUGUAGCGGUGAAAUGCGUAGAUAUCAGGAGGAACACCGGUGGCGAAGGCGGCUUUCUGGACGGUAACUGACGCUGAGACGCGAAAGCGUGGGGAGCAAACAGG
RNAcentral lists this ribosomal RNA (253 nucleotides) under uncultured bacterium. Its description in RNAcentral is "partial 16S ribosomal RNA". It matches the Rfam family "Bacterial small subunit ribosomal RNA", at positions 524 to 776 of the family's 1533-position model. The record is from RNAcentral.